This 497-nucleotide ribosomal RNA is filed under the name uncultured bacterium. RNAcentral describes it as "partial 16S ribosomal RNA". It matches the Rfam family "Bacterial small subunit ribosomal RNA", at positions 28 to 507 of the family's 1533-position model. The record is from RNAcentral.
GACGAACGCUGGCGGCGUGCCUAAUACAUGCAAGUAGAACGCUGAAGAGAGGAGCUUGCUCUUCUUGGAUUAGUUGCUAACGGGUGAGUAACUCGUAGGUAACCUGCCUUGUAGCGGGGGAUAACUAUUGGAAACGAUAGCUAAUACCGCAUAACAAUGGAUGACACAUGUCAUUUAUUUGAAAUGGGCAAUUGCUCCACUACAAGAUGGACCUGCGUUGUAUUAGCUAGUAGGUGAGGUAAUGGCUCACCUAGGCGACGAUACAUAGCCGAACUGAGAGGGUGAUCGGCCACACUGGGACUGAGACACGGCCCAGAAUCCUACGGGAGGCAGCAGUAGGGAAUCUUCGGCAAUGGGGGCAAAGGUGACCGAGCAACGCCGCGUGAGUGAAGAAGGAUUUCGGAUCGUAAAGCUCUGUUGUAAGUCAAGAAAGGGAGGGAGAGUGGAAAGUUCACACUGUGACGGUAGCUUACCAGAAAGGGACGGCUAACUACGUG